Molecule: ribosomal RNA, 253 nt
Filed under: uncultured bacterium
Lineage: Bacteria
Description: partial 16S ribosomal RNA
Rfam family: Bacterial small subunit ribosomal RNA
Source: RNAcentral
UACGUAGGGUGCAAGCGUUGUCCGGGAUUAUUGGGCGUAAAGAGCUCGUAGGCGGUCUGUUGCGUCGGCUGUGAAAACCCGGGGCUCAACUCCGGGCCUGCAGCCGAUACGGGCAGACUAGAGUUCGGCAGGGGAGACUGGAAUUCCUGGUGUAGCGGUGAAAUGCGCAGAUAUCAGGAGGAACACCGGUGGCGAAGGCGGGACUCUGGGCCGAUACUGACGCUGAGGCGCGAAAGCUAGGGGAGCGAACGGG